AAACAAUUACGCUGUUAUCCCCUAAGUAACUUGAUUUGUUAAUCUUUUUUAAGGAUCAAUAGUGUAAAUCGUUAUAUUGACUUUAGUAAAUAUGAAGUUAAAUUUUUCAUAAACCGCCCCAGUUAAAUUUUAUUCUUACUAUUGGGUAAGAAUAAAAUAAAGAUUUAAGGGGUCUUCUCGUCCUAUUAUAAUAUUUCUUCUUUUUCAAAGAAAAAUUAAUUUAAAUUUUAGAAAAUUGAGACAAUAUUAAGUUCAUUAACCCUAUCAUUCUAUUUUACAAUUAAUAAACUAAUUAUUAUGCUACCUUUGCAA
Molecule: ribosomal RNA, 312 nt
Filed under: Facetotecta sp.
Lineage: Eukaryota; Metazoa; Arthropoda; Thecostraca
Description: partial large subunit ribosomal RNA
Source: RNAcentral